GAUGAACGCUGGCGGCGUGCCUAAUACAUGCAAGUCGAGCGAACAGAUGAGGAGCUUGCUCCCCUGACGUUAGCGGCGGACGGGUGAGUCACACGUGGAUAACCUACCUAUAAGACUGGGAUAACUUCGGGAAACCGGAGCUAAUACCGGAUAAUAUAUUGAACCGCAUGGAUCAAUCGUGAAAUACGGUUUUGCUGUCACUUAUAGAUGAAUACGCGCCGCAUUAGCUAGUUGUUAAGGUAACGGCUUAGCAAGGCUACGAGGCGUAGCCGACCUGAGAGGAGGAUCGGCCACACGGGAGCGGGGACACGGACCAAACUCGUACGGGAGGCAGCAGCCGGGAAUCUACCGGAAGGGGCGAUAGCGUGACGUAGCAACGCGGCGUGAGUGUUGAAGGUCUACGGCUCGUAAAUCUCUGUUGCUAGGGAAGAACAAAUGUGUAAGUAACGAUGAGAGUCUGGACGGUCCGGAAGCAUAAGGCCAGGGCUAACUACUG
Molecule: ribosomal RNA, 496 nt
Filed under: uncultured bacterium
Lineage: Bacteria
Description: partial 16S ribosomal RNA
Rfam family: Bacterial small subunit ribosomal RNA
Source: RNAcentral